GAUGAACGCUGGCGGCGUGCUUAACACAUGCAAGUCGAACGAAGCAUUUAGAACAGAUUACUUCGGUUUGAAGUUCUUUAUGACUGAGUGGCGGACGGGUGAGUAACGCGUGGGUAACCUGCCUUGUACUGGGGGAUAGCAGCUGGAAACGGCUGGUAAUACCGCAUAAGCGCACAAUGUUGCAUGACAUGGUGUGAAAAACUCCGGUGGUAUAAGAUGGACCCGCGUCUGAUUAGCUAGUUGGUGAGAUAACAACCCACCAAGGCGACGAUCAGUAGCCGACCUGAGAGGGUGACCGGCCACAUUGGGACUGAGACACGGCCCAGACUCCUACGGGAGGCAGCAGUGGGGAAUAUUGCACAAUGGAGGAAACUCUGAUGCAGCGACGCCGCGUGAGUGAAGAAGUAAUUCGUUAUGUAAAGCUCUAUCAGCAGGGAAGAUAGUGACGGUACCUGACUAAGAAGCUCCGGCUAAAUACGUG
This 481-nucleotide ribosomal RNA is filed under the name uncultured bacterium. Its description in RNAcentral is "partial 16S ribosomal RNA". It matches the Rfam family "Bacterial small subunit ribosomal RNA", at positions 28 to 507 of the family's 1533-position model. The record is from RNAcentral.